This 253-nucleotide ribosomal RNA is filed under the name uncultured Adhaeribacter sp. RNAcentral's name for it is "partial 16S ribosomal RNA". It matches the Rfam family "Bacterial small subunit ribosomal RNA", at positions 524 to 776 of the family's 1533-position model. The record is from RNAcentral. Lineage: Bacteria; Pseudomonadati; Bacteroidota; Cytophagia; Cytophagales; Hymenobacteraceae.
UACGGAGGGUGCAAGCGUUGUCCGGAUUUAUUGGGUUUAAAGGGUGCGUAGGCGGCUUGAUAAGUCCGUGGUGAAAGCCAACAGCUCAACUGUUGAACUGCCAUGGAUACUGUUGGGCUUGAGUACAGACGAGGUAGGCGGAAUUGAUGGUGUAGCGGUGAAAUGCAUAGAUACCAUCAAGAACACCGAUUGCGAAGGCAGCUUACUAGGCUGUAACUGACGCUGAGGCACGAAAGCGUGGGGAGCGAACAGG